Molecule: unclassified non-coding RNA, 155 nt
Filed under: uncultured Coniosporium
Lineage: Eukaryota; Fungi; Ascomycota
Description: partial internal transcribed spacer 2
Source: RNAcentral
CAACCCUCAAGCUCUGCUUGGUAUUGGGCUUCGUCGGUCCCCGGCGUGCCUCAAAGCUAUCGGCGGUGGUGCCUUUCUCUAAGCGUGGUAAAUUUUAUUCGCUUGUGAGUCGGGCUUCGCCUGCCGGAUAAAUCGGGCUCCGGCCCAUCUUCUUA